This 253-nucleotide ribosomal RNA is filed under the name uncultured bacterium. RNAcentral describes it as "partial 16S ribosomal RNA". It matches the Rfam family "Bacterial small subunit ribosomal RNA", at positions 524 to 776 of the family's 1533-position model. The record is from RNAcentral.
UACGGAGGAUCCAAGCGUUAUCCGGAUUCAUUGGGUUUAAAGGGUCCGUAGGCGGGUCUUUAAGUCAGUGGUGAAAGCCGACAGCUCAACUGUCGAACUGCCAUUGAUACUGAUAGGCUUGAGUUAUUGUGAAGUGGUUAGAAUGUGUGGUGUAGCGGUGAAAUGCAUAGAUAUGACUCAGAACACCGAUUGCGAAGGCAGCUUACUAACAUGUAACUGACGCUGAGGGACGAAAGCGUGGGGAGCGAACAGG